Non-coding RNA from Anncaliia algerae PRA109, 73 nucleotides. The record is from Rfam. NCBI's taxonomy places the organism in Eukaryota, Fungi, Microsporidia, Tubulinosematidae.
GGGGUUUUAGCUCAGUUGGUAGAGUGCUCGCUUAGCAUGUGAGAGGUCAAGGGUUCAACUCCCUUAAAUUCCA